RNAcentral lists this ribosomal RNA (499 nucleotides) under uncultured bacterium. RNAcentral's name for it is "partial 16S ribosomal RNA". It matches the Rfam family "Bacterial small subunit ribosomal RNA", at positions 28 to 507 of the family's 1533-position model. The record is from RNAcentral.
GAUGAACGCUGGCGGCGUGCCUAAUACAUGCAAGUCGAGCGAACAGACGAGAGUGCUUGCACUCUCUGACGUUAGCGGCGGACGGGUGAGUAACACGUGGGUAACCUACCUAUAAGACUGGGAUAACUUCGGGAAACCGGAGCUAAUACCGGAUAAUAUUUAGCUUCGCAUGACGCAAUAGUGAAAGACGGUUCUGCUGUCACUUAUAGAUGGACCCGCGGUGUAUUAGCUAGUUGGUGAGGUAACGGCUCACCAAGGCAACGAUACAUAGCCGACCUGAGAGGGUGAUCGGCCACACUGGGACUGAGACACGGACCAGACUCCUACGGGAGGCAGCAGUAGGGAAUCUUCCGCAAUGGACGAAAGUCUGACGGAGCAAUGCCGCGUGAGUGAAGAAGGUUUUCGGAUCGUAAAACUCUGUUGUAAGGGAAGAACAAGUACGUUAGUAACUGAACGUACCUUGACGGUACCUUACCAGAAAGCCACGGCUAACUACGUG